RNAcentral lists this long non-coding RNA (343 nucleotides) under Glycine max (soybean). Its description in RNAcentral is "long non-coding RNA (GMAX_LNC002928)". The record is from RNAcentral. Lineage: Eukaryota; Viridiplantae; Streptophyta; Magnoliopsida; Fabales; Fabaceae.
AAAAAUUGGGUGUAGAAUUCUGCUCUUUACUUUCAGACAGAAUUCGGUAACACGCCGUACAAGUUUAAUGAAGUCAUUGUUUCUCCUAUCUUUACGGUGGCAGUCAAAAUGAAAGAACACAUGUUGGCUUGAAAUUGUGACUUGGGCACAUAUUUCUCUCCAAGUUGAACUCUUCUUCCAACUCCCUCCUUCACCACUAAUUUCAGUUUUCAUCUUGGCAGGGAUGGAUCUAAUAUUCAGUCUACCAAAAUCUACAUGAUUAUAGUUAGAUCCUAAAAAGUGAGAAUUGACACCAUUAUAUAGGAAAUGAUAUAUUGGCUCUUUGGUGAAGUGAUCAGAAAAA